UGCCUCGAAGCUUCGGCGCUAAUCGCGUCGGAGCGCAUUUAUUAGUACAAAACCAAUCGGUCGUUGGCUGUUAAGCCUUCGGCCGCCAAAGGUUGGUGAAUCGGAAUAACUAUGCUGAUCGCACGGUCCAGCACCGGCGACGAAUCUUUGAAAUGACUUGCUCAUCAACUUUCGAUGGUACGCUACGUGCUUACCAUGGUGACAACGGUUAACGGAGAAUCAGGGUUCGACUCCGGAGAGGGAGCCUGAGAAACGGCUACCACAUCCAAGGAAGGCAGCAGGCACGCAAAUUACCCACUCCCGGAUCGGGGAGGUAGUGACGAAAAAUAACGGAACGUAUCUCCAUGAGACGCGUUACCGGAACGACCGAGCCGUACAUAAGCUCGGCUAAAUCUAUUGGAGGGCAAGUCUGGUGCCAGCAGCCGCGGUAAUUCCAGCUCCAAUAGCGUAUAUUAAAGUUGCUGCGGUUAAACCGCUCGUAGUUGGAUUGCGGUCGACGACGACGGUCGUCCUAAGC
Molecule: ribosomal RNA, 517 nt
Filed under: Trichuris sp. ex Camelus bactrianus JP-2011
Lineage: Eukaryota; Metazoa; Nematoda; Enoplea; Trichinellida; Trichuridae
Description: SSU rRNA
Rfam family: Eukaryotic small subunit ribosomal RNA
Source: RNAcentral